CGGGCGGGGAAGAAGGACCCUUGGCUGACGAGGGCAGCAAGCCCGCCUGGGAGGUGCCCAAGUGCCUCACUGAAGAACGAUGAAAAUCACCAUGAUGGCAGCAGAGUGGCACAGAAGACGCAGGUGCUCCCCUCUUGGUUUCUGAACACUGAUCUGAUCUGAGGAGCCCAGAGCGGUGUGCUACAUACUUACGUUUCUCCUCACAACAACAACCCUGUGAGGUAGGUGAGGCUGAGAGGGAAGUGACCCAGAGUCCCCCAGAGUCAGAAGCACAGCAUUGGAGGCUGGGCUGGGCCUGCUUCCGCCCACUGGAUUGCAGCUUUUCUGCUGCUCCGGCAGGAAACGACUCAAGGCUUGAUUGUCUGGAAGAACGUUGCAGAGAAGAGAAUAGCAACUCCAUCCAAACCAUCAUUUUUAUUGAUUCUCUCCAGGAAAAAACUUCAUGGUCUCUUUCUUUCCCCCUGCUGUUUGCUUAGAACAUUUUCAUUUUAUUCAAUUGGCCUUUUAAAACUAUAUUGCACGCCAUCUUGGCCAGUUAUAUGCAGAGUACUGAGCCAUCUUUAGCAUCCCUUCCACAGGGACAACUGACAGCAGAAUAGCUUUGUUGGUCUGUUGUAGAAAAACCCACCCAAGGAUCUGAUGAGCAGAAUCUGGCCUGAGACAGUCCAUGGAACUACUACAAGUGUGUUUGAGGUGCCACAAGACAGCUCUCUGGUGUUUCCUUCAGCCUCUGUUUCUCUGUAUUCUGCUGCAGUUGUCUGUCAAGUUGAGGGGUGUGUGUGUGUGUGUGUGUGUGUGUGUGUGUGUGUGUGUGUGUGUGUGCAGAGUGAUAUAAACACACAUGUCCAAGCAACAAAGACUCUCCUAUUAAGCAGAAAUCAGUGAAUAUAGGGUGGGUGAAACAGGUUAAAUGUUUGACCAUCCACGGAAAAAUGUUGAUGUUGAGAGCCAAAUUGCCAUGGCUGGUUUAGACUUCGACAUGAAGCCACUGAUGCCGAAUAACAGCUGCAAGCUUCUGCAGAGGUUGUGCACAAGUCAUAUCUUUGAAAAAUAUUUUGUCACCUGAAGGGAGCAUCUUGGGUGCAUGCCACUUUUGGCCAAAGAGCACUCAUGAAGAGGAUGACUGAAGCAAAACUUGUGCUGUACUAUUACUCGAAUUCAUAAAUGUCAACUUAGCACUGGCCCAAACCAGACAGAUACCAUGUGAAAGACACAGAGAGACUCUGGCAAGUUGGGGUCAAAGUCACUCUACAUUUUGCAGGAGAU
Long non-coding RNA from Hemicordylus capensis (graceful crag lizard), 1266 nucleotides. RefSeq lists it as uncharacterized. The transcript has 3 exons. NCBI's taxonomy places the organism in Eukaryota, Metazoa, Chordata, Lepidosauria, Squamata, Cordylidae. The record is from RefSeq and is a predicted model, not a curated record.